RNAcentral lists this ribosomal RNA (403 nucleotides) under uncultured bacterium. RNAcentral describes it as "partial 16S ribosomal RNA". It matches the Rfam family "Bacterial small subunit ribosomal RNA", at positions 362 to 758 of the family's 1533-position model. The record is from RNAcentral.
UUUUGGACAAUGGGCGAAAGCCUGAUCCAGCCAUUCCGCGUGAGUGAAGAAGGCCUUCGGGUUGUAAAGCUCUUUCGCACCCCCCCCAAACGAUGCAGUCGAAUAAACUGUGUUAAUGACGGUACCUUGAUAAGAAGCACCGGCUAACUACGUGCCAGCAGCCGCGGUAAUACGUAGGGUGCAAGCGUUAAUCGGAAUUACUGGGCGUAAAGCGUGCGCAGGCGGUUUUGUAAGUCAGACGUGAAAUCCCCGAGCUCAACUUCGGCACCCCCCCUUGAAACUACAAGACUAAAAUAUGUCAGAGGGGGGUAGAAUUCCACGUGUAGCAGUGAAAUGCGUAGAGAUGUGGAGGAAUACCAAUGGCGAAGGCAGCCCCCUGGAUAAUAUUACGCUCAGCACGAAA